GGCCUACGGGGGGCAGCAGUGGGGAAUAUUGCACAAUGGGGGAAACCCUGAUGCAGCGACGCCGCGUGAGUGAAGAAGUAUCUCGGUACGUAAAGCUCUAUCAGCAGGGAAGAAAAAAAGUCUUUGGCUUUGGACGGUACCUGACUAAGAAGCCCCGGCUAACUACGUGCCAGCAGCCGCGGUAAUACGUAGGGGGCAAGCGUUAUCCGGCUUUACUGGGUGUAAAGGGAGCGUAGACGGCUUGGCAAGCUAGAUGGGAAAGGCUGGGGCUCAACCCCAGAACUGCAU
This 288-nucleotide ribosomal RNA is filed under the name uncultured bacterium. RNAcentral's name for it is "partial 16S ribosomal RNA". It matches the Rfam family "Bacterial small subunit ribosomal RNA", at positions 335 to 626 of the family's 1533-position model. The record is from RNAcentral.